Molecule: ribosomal RNA, 496 nt
Filed under: uncultured bacterium
Lineage: Bacteria
Description: partial 16S ribosomal RNA
Rfam family: Bacterial small subunit ribosomal RNA
Source: RNAcentral
GAUGAACGCUAGCUGGAGGCUUAAUACAUGCAAGUCGAGCGGGAUUGGGUAGCAAUACCCAUGAGAGCGGCGCACGGGUGAGUAACGCGUACACGACCUACCUCUAACAGGGGGAUAGCCCUGGGAAACUGGGAUUAAUACCGCAUAUUAUUCUGAAUAAUAAAGGUUUGGAAUGAAAGCUGAGGCGGUUAGAGAUGGGUGUGCGUCUGAUUAGCUAGUUGGUAGGGUAACGGCCUACCAAGGCGAUGAUCAGUAGGGGGCGUGAGAGCGUGGUCCCCCACACGGGUACUGAGACGCGGACCCGACUCCUGCGGGAGGCAGCAGUAAGGAAUAUUGGUCAAUGGGCGAAAGCCUGAACCAGCCAUCCGGCGUGCAGGAAGAAGGCCCUAUGGGUUGUAAACUGCUUUUAUCAGGGAAGAAACCUCUGGAUUUACUCCGGAGCUGACGGUACCUGAAGAAUAAGCACCGGCUAACUCCGUGCCAGCAGCCGCGGUAA